Molecule: unclassified non-coding RNA, 770 nt
Filed under: Hevea brasiliensis (rubber tree)
Lineage: Eukaryota; Viridiplantae; Streptophyta; Magnoliopsida; Malpighiales; Euphorbiaceae
Source: RNAcentral
AAUUAUUAUAUUUUUACUAUUAUGCCCAUAUUGAAUAGAUAAAAGUAUAUUAAAAAAUAACUAUUGGAGGAAAAAAAGCCAUAGAGGAAAAACAAAAAAAAAAAUAACAUUGUUAAAACAAAAUGGCACAAAAUGCUCUUUAAGCAAUUUCCACAAAAAUCCUCACAAAUCUUUUCCUUUUCACAAAACAAGGGAAUUGGAAAUUAAAUUUUUUUCUUUCUUCCUUUUUGCUGCCAACAAAACAAGGGAAUUGCCCUUUUUCCCUUUUCCUACCAUUUUCCUCUCCCUCACUACAAAAAAGCCCUUAAACACUUGGAGCAUGUAGUCCUUCAAAAAAUAAAAAAAAAUUAUCUAAAAACCAGAACACUGAAAACUACAAUUGCUUACCAUAGAUUUUUUUAGAUUUUUCAGAAGUCAAAACCCAAAAACUCCAUUUUUGAAGCAUUAUAAUUAUGCCAUCCUUUAUAUAUUGCCCAUAAACUAAAAUUAAAAUUCAUAUUAUCAUCCACUUUGGCCUUCAAACCUAGAUUUUUCAAUGUCUAUCACUCUAUAAGCUGCAAACAUCUUCUUCAACAACCAAAAACUGAAAUUCUCAUUUUCUCAAAGUCCAGCCUACCAAAUAAGCAAUUGUAGACAGCUCUCUCUGUCGUUCAUUGCAUUGCCAUGUAAUCCAGCAAUAUGACACUCUCACAAACAAGUUUAUCAGGAAUGUAAAACAAUUUUAAGGAGAAGCGUCGCAUUAACAAGAUAAUCCUAUUGAUUUGAGUCUG